AACCUCCGCAAUGUGAGAAAUCGCGACGGGGGGAUCCCAAGUGCCAUUCUUAACGGGAUGGCUUUUCAUUAGUGUAAAGAGCUUUUGGAAUAAGGGCUGGGCAAGACCGGUGCCAGCCGCCGCGGUAACACCGGCAGCUCUAGUGGUAGCAGUUUUUAUUGGGCCUAAAGCGUCCGUAGCCGGUUUAAUAAGUCUCUGGUGAAAUCCUGUAGCUUAACUGUGGGAAUUGCUGGAGAUACUAUUAGACUUGAGACCGGGAGAGGUUAGAGGUACUCCCAGGGUAGAGGUGAAAUUCUGUAAUCCUGGGAGGACCGCCUGUUGCGAAGGCGUCUAACUGGAACGGUUCUGACGGUGAGGGACGAAAGUUAGGGGCGCGAACCGGAUUAGAUACCCGGGUAGUCCUAACUGUAAACGAUGCGGACUUGGUGUUGGGGUGGCUUUGAGCUGCUCCAGCGCCGAAGGGAGCUGUUAAGUCCGCCGCCUGGGAAGUACGGUCGCAAGACUGAAACUUAAAGGAAUU
This 520-nucleotide ribosomal RNA is filed under the name uncultured bacterium. RNAcentral describes it as "bacterial SSU rRNA". It matches the Rfam family "Archaeal small subunit ribosomal RNA", at positions 345 to 866 of the family's 1478-position model. The record is from RNAcentral.